GAAAAAUAAACAGGCAAGGACAAGAGGGAUGGACCAAGCCUGAAGUCCCUUUAAGGAAGACACCACCUACCACCACCAUGGGUGAUAGGCUGUCAUCACUACUACAACAUCUGCCUGUGCAUCCUUGGCAACAAAAUGACAAAGUGAGAAAGAAGGUAAAGGAUGAAUGCAGUGGUGUACUCCAAAUGACUUGUACUGGCUGUGAGAGCUGAAGAAUAUAAACAGGUACUUAAAAGCACAGCAUUGACAACAAAAAAUGCUUUCCUUUUGGCUUGAAAGAAGGCAAUAAGAAGAAAGAUUUUAGGAGCUGAGCUGGAAAUUAAGAAGAAAGCCUCAAGGUUUUGUGAGCAUGAACCUACUUAAGGGGUCUUGCCUCCAAGACAGUAUUUAGGAUAUAUGGAAAGAAGCACGGGAAACAAAGAACUACAAUACAACCUCUACCAUACAUCAGAUGUCUGAGUCCUGAGCUCUGUUCUGUUCCACUGGUCAAUUUGUCUUCCUGCACCAAGACAAUACUAUCUUAAUUAUUAGAGUUUUAAAAUAUUUUAAUAUUUAGUAGGCAAGUAUAUCUACCUUAUUCCUCUUCAUCAGAAGUGUUGUAAUUCUUGGCACAUUGCUAUUCUGAACACCUUUUAAAAUUAGUUUGCGAAUUUCCACCAAAAACACUGUUGGGAUUUGAAUUGUGCUGUAUUAAAACUGUGGAUCAGUUUGGGGAGUACUGACAUAUUUAGAGCAUUGAGUCUUCCUUUUCAUGAACAUGGAAUCUUUCUCUAUCAAGUUCUUCUUUUACAUCUUUCAGUAAUGUUUUAUAGUUUAUCCAUAAAGGUCUUGCAUAUUUUUUGUGAGAUUGCUCUGAAGUACAUUUUUUUGUUGUUGCAAUUGUAAAUGGAUAUUUAGAGGCCGUUUGCUCUUUGUGGCUGGUGUAUAUAAAUGAAUUGAUUUUUAUGAAUUCAUCUUUUGCCCAACCACUUUGCCAAACUCAUAAUUCCAAUAUUUUUUCUACAGAUUCUUUUGGGUUUUCUAUGUAUACAUAACAUCUAUGAAAAAUAGAUUGUUCCUUCCUUUCCAAUCUUUGUAUCUAUUAGUUUUUCUCUUGACUCUUUGUACUGGCUUAUGAUAUUUAAUAAAAUGUUGAGU
Molecule: long non-coding RNA, 1137 nt
Organism: Pan troglodytes (chimpanzee)
Lineage: Eukaryota; Metazoa; Chordata; Mammalia; Primates; Hominidae
Exons: 4
Source: RefSeq, a predicted model, not a curated record